Molecule: ribosomal RNA, 180 nt
Filed under: uncultured bacterium
Lineage: Bacteria
Description: partial 16S ribosomal RNA
Rfam family: Bacterial small subunit ribosomal RNA
Source: RNAcentral
CUCCUACGGGAGGCAGCAGUGGGGAAUCUUGCACAAUGGACGAAAGUCUGAUGCAGCAACGCCGCGUGGGGGAUGAAGCUUUUCGGAGUGUAAACCCUUUCGACCCGGAAGAAUGCCGCAAGGGUUUGACGGUACGGGUACUAAGAAGCCCGGCUAACUACGUGCCAGCAGCCGCGAUAC